UACGGAGGGUGCAAGCGUCAUCCGGAUUUAUUGGGUUUAAAGGGUCCGUAGGCGGAUUAGUAAGUCAGUGGUGAAAGCCCGCAGCUCAACUGUGGAACUGCCAUUGAUACUGCUAGUCUUGAGUGUAGUUGAAGUAGCUGGAAUGAGUAGUGUAGCGGUGAAAUGCAUAGAUAUUACUCAGAACACCAAUUGCGAAGGCAGGUUACUAAGUUACAACUGACGCUGAUGGACGAAAGCGUGGGGAGCGAACAGG
RNAcentral lists this ribosomal RNA (253 nucleotides) under uncultured bacterium. RNAcentral's name for it is "partial 16S ribosomal RNA". It matches the Rfam family "Bacterial small subunit ribosomal RNA", at positions 524 to 776 of the family's 1533-position model. The record is from RNAcentral.